Molecule: non-coding RNA, 765 nt
Organism: Electrophorus electricus (electric eel)
Lineage: Eukaryota; Metazoa; Chordata; Actinopteri; Gymnotiformes; Gymnotidae
Source: RefSeq, a predicted model, not a curated record
GAUGUCGCGAUCAGGAUGUGGGUCAUGUCAUAUGGGACCGACGUGAUUUCGGGGAAGCCCUGGGCUUUCUGAGAAGGAAUACCAGCCCACAGGUCCGUCCAAACGGAGCUCAUGUGUUCACUGGGCGUCAGCCUGCUAAUGCACGCCAAAAAGCUGCACUAUUCAUUUAUAAGGCGUCUCGUUUGACCCAUUUCCCCGAAGUUGGUGGGAUUGACGAGCUGCACACUGGCCUAACACCGCUGCUAAAUGCGGCCGGUGAGUAACUCUGGCAGAGACAAAAAUGUCGAUGCUUCUCUGGGGGUCAGUGCUGGAAGACCACAUAUCUGUGUCAAAUUCACACAGCUCUACCCACACCAGCAGCAUGUCAGACUUACAUCAAAACUUUCCAGAUACGUCAAAACUUUCUGCUUUAUUCCAUCGAUACAGCUCCUCUUCAUCACCUGGAAAUUGAUUUCUGUGAAGCUAUUUUGCCAGGUGUCCCAAACCCUGAGGAGAAGGUGCCAUAAAAAACCAUCAGAGUGGCUUCAAGCAGUUUUCUCAUUCCUGUUGUGCUAACUUGGAAUUCAUUUUCAGAUUUUAGAGAUAUUAAUGCAUGCAAACACCAGGCAGGAAAGAUAUAAAAGCAGUAUAGGAAAGCCCAUUAUGCAUCUUUUCUAUGCAGAUUAUAGAUGCAGCUGGAUUUGUAUAGAUAUGUUUGCUUUACAAGUCAAAUGAGAGUAUUAUUAUUGAAUAAAACUGAAUAAACUGCAAAAUGAUAUGAAUGCA